RNAcentral lists this RNase P RNA (301 nucleotides) under uncultured Campylobacter sp. RNAcentral's name for it is "Bacterial RNase P class A". It matches the Rfam family "Bacterial RNase P class A". From Rfam's summary of the family: Ribonuclease P (RNase P) is a ubiquitous endoribonuclease, found in archaea, bacteria and eukarya as well as chloroplasts and mitochondria. Lineage: Bacteria; Pseudomonadati; Campylobacterota; Epsilonproteobacteria; Campylobacterales; Campylobacteraceae. The record is from RNAcentral.
UCGCUAUGAUAGAGGAAAGUCCGAGCCGCUUUAAGACAGGGUUCCGUCUAACGGACGGCCGGGGCAACCCGAGGGAAAGUGCAACAGAAAGCAAACUGCCGCUUUUGCGGCGAUGGUGAAACGGCGGGGUAAGAGCCCACCGCGCGCAGGCGAGAACGAAGCCGCGCGGCAUUGCAAACCCAACCCGCGGCAAGAAGGGAUGGUUUUGGUCUUAAAAUAAAAACCCUUCGCUAGAGUUCGUUUGCAAAAUCGAACCGAGAUAAAUGAUCGUCAAAACAGAACUCGGCUUACGGUCGCACCC